CGCAGUCACCGCAUUUACCGAGUCACGGCAUCAGAAAAAUACAUCGAUAACCAUGACAGACAAGCUACAGAUGGAGUGAUACAGCCGAGCUGUUGCAGAAAAUGUCGACCGCGAGAAUGUGAUGUACUUUGAAUUUUAUCACGGAUUGGCUCUAAUAAGACCUGCUGUACACAGAUCUUACAGUUUGGUGAGGUGAGAUAUCGUAGCCUGUGGAGAACAGGACAUCAUCACCAGUAGUU
Priapulus caudatus is the source of this 239-nucleotide long non-coding RNA. RefSeq lists it as uncharacterized. The transcript is spliced from 3 exons. The record is from RefSeq and is a predicted model, not a curated record. Lineage: Eukaryota; Metazoa; Priapulida; Priapulimorpha; Priapulimorphida; Priapulidae.